This 245-nucleotide ribosomal RNA is filed under the name uncultured bacterium. RNAcentral's name for it is "partial small subunit ribosomal RNA". It matches the Rfam family "Bacterial small subunit ribosomal RNA", at positions 26 to 285 of the family's 1533-position model. The record is from RNAcentral.
AGAACGAACGCUGGCGGCAUGCCUAACACAUGCAAGUCGCACGAGAAAGGGUAGCAAUACCUGAGUAAAGUGGCGCACGGGUGAGUAACACGUGAAUUAUCUACCUCCGAGUGGGGAAUAACUGAGAGAAAUCUUAGCUAAUACCGCAUAACACUUACGAGUCAAAGCAGCAAUGCGCUUGGAGAGGAGUUCGCGGCCGAUUAGUUAGUUGGCGGGGUAAUGGCCCACCAAGACGAUGAUCGGUA